This 253-nucleotide ribosomal RNA is filed under the name uncultured bacterium. Its description in RNAcentral is "partial 16S ribosomal RNA". It matches the Rfam family "Bacterial small subunit ribosomal RNA", at positions 524 to 776 of the family's 1533-position model. The record is from RNAcentral.
UACGUAGGUGGCAAGCGUUGUCCGGAAUUAUUGGGCGUAAAGCGCGCGCAGGCGGCCUCUUAAGCCUGAUGUGAAAGCCCCCGGCUCAACCGGGGAGGGCCAUUGGAAACUGGGAGGCUUGAGUAUAGGAGAGAAGAGUGGAAUUCCACGUGUAGCGGUGAAAUGCGUAGAGAUGUGGAGGAACACCAGUGGCGAAGGCGACUCUUUGGCCUAUAACUGACGCUGAGGCGCGAAAGCGUGGGGAGCAAACAGG